This is a small nucleolar RNA of Equus asinus (donkey), 138 nucleotides long. Ensembl annotates it as small nucleolar RNA, H/ACA box 8. Its record names the gene SNORA8. The record is from Ensembl. Lineage: Eukaryota; Metazoa; Chordata; Mammalia; Perissodactyla; Equidae.
UGCACUGCAUGGUAUCUGCAUUCAGCAGUGUAUUCCUGCUGGGUGUUCAAAGGACAGUGCGAUAUAAAUUCAGUAUCUGGCAUCGUUGGUUUUCUUUGCUUCGUGCAUGUUAAACCUGGUAUUUUUAUUGAUACAGUA